GCAGUGCAUCCUACGGGAGGCAGCAGUGGGGAAUAUUGCACAAUGGGCGCAAGCCUGAUGCAGCCAUGCCGCGUGUAUGAAGAAGGCCUUCGGGUUGUAAAGUACUUUCAGCAGUGAGGAAGGUGGGUAAUGUUAAUAGCAUACUCAUUUGACGUUAGCUGCAGAAGAAGCACCGGCUAACUCCGUGCCAGCAGCCGCGGUAAUACGGAGGGUGCGAGCGUUAAUCGGAAUUACUGGGCGUAAAGCGCAUGCAGGUGGUUUGUUAAGUCAGAUGUGAAAGCCCGGGGCUCAACCUCGGAAUUGCAUUUGAAACUGGCAAACUAGAGUACUGUAGAGGGGGUAGAAUUUCAGGUGUAGCGGUGAAAUGCGUAGAGAUCUGAAGGAAUACCGGUGGCGAAGGCGGCCCCCUGGACAGAUACUGACACUCAGAUGCGAAAGCGUGGGGAGCAAACAGGAUUAGAUACCCUGGUAG
RNAcentral lists this ribosomal RNA (472 nucleotides) under uncultured bacterium. Its description in RNAcentral is "bacterial SSU rRNA". It matches the Rfam family "Bacterial small subunit ribosomal RNA", at positions 329 to 793 of the family's 1533-position model. The record is from RNAcentral.